AGAGUUUGAUCAUGGCUCAGAUUGAACGCUGGCGGCAUGCUUUACACAUGCAAGUCGAACGGCAGCACAGGGAGCUUGCUCCCGGGUGGCGAGUGGCGCACGGGUGAGUAAUACAUCGGAACGUGUCCUAUUGUGGGGGAUAACUGCUCGAAAGGGUGGCUAAUACCGCAUGAGACCUGAGGGUGAAAGCGGGGGAUCGCAAGACCUCGCGCAAUUGGAGCGGCCGAUGCCCGAUUAGCUAGUUGGUGAGGUAAAGGCUCACCAAGGCGACGAUCGGUAGCUGGUACUCGAGACGGACGACCAGCCACACUGGGACUGACGACACGGCCAGACUCCGACGGAGGCA
This 346-nucleotide ribosomal RNA is filed under the name uncultured bacterium. RNAcentral's name for it is "bacterial SSU rRNA". It matches the Rfam family "Bacterial small subunit ribosomal RNA", at positions 8 to 350 of the family's 1533-position model. The record is from RNAcentral.